This 590-nucleotide unclassified non-coding RNA is filed under the name Hevea brasiliensis (rubber tree). Lineage: Eukaryota; Viridiplantae; Streptophyta; Magnoliopsida; Malpighiales; Euphorbiaceae. The record is from RNAcentral.
UAUUGAUCCUAUCUAAUUAUUCAUUAAUAUUUAGUUUUGACUAUCAGCUUCUGUGCAGUAAGGCUUUCUUACUUCUGUAAAAUGAAAAUAUAGACUCUGUGCAGAUUCUAUUAUCAUUAUUAUUUGCCAAUAGUUUGACAAGCAAAUUUUUUUUCCUUAUGUUUUCUAAUAAAAAAUACAUAAUCAAUUUGAAAGUAAAAUCAUUUAUCAUAGCCAUUUUCUUUCAAAUUUCUUCUCCUUCCUAGAAGGUUUACUGGGUUUAAUAAAAGGCAAUCCUUCUAAUGAACACGAAGAAAACAACGUUUCCCUCCUUAUUUUUUAGAACUAUAUAAGAUCUAUUUAGCAUUCUUUACUUAUAUUCCUCUUCCUUAAUAGAAUAUUAUUCCUUUAUUUGAAUUAUACAAAAAAAAAUUAACAUACGUUCAUUUCUGGACACUGUCAUGUAUUCUUUCGUUGUGAUUUCAUUUUGUUUUCCAGAGAGGCAUGUGAAUGAUAUAUCCCAACUCGUUAGUUUAACAACUUACUGUGCAAAGAAGCCAUAAGCACCUUCUUCUUAUCAUAACAUUUUAAUUAGGUUGUCAAAUGUUUUG